GACGAACGCUGGCGGCGUGCUUAACACAUGCAAGUCGAACGGAAAGGCCCUGCUUUUGUGGGGUGCUCGAGUGGCGAACGGGUGAGUAACACGUGAGUAACCUGCCCUUGACUUUGGGAUAACUUCAGGAAACUGGGGCUAAUACCGUAUCGGAGCUCCUGCUCCAUGGUGGGGGUUGGAAAGUUUCGGCGUUUGGGGGUGGACUCGCGGCUUAUCAGCUUGUUGGUGGGUAGUGGCUUACCAAGGCUUUGGCGGGUAGCCGGCCUGAGAGGGUGACCGGCCACAUGGGGACUGAGAUACGGACCAGACUCGUACGGGAGGCAGAAGGGGGGAAUAUUGCACAAUGGGCGGAAGCCUGAUGCAGCAACGCCGCGUGCGGGAUGACGGCCUUCGGGUUGUAAACCGCUUUCGCCUGUGACGAAGCGUGAGUGACGGUAAUGGGUAAAGAAGCACCGGCUAACUACGUG
This 467-nucleotide ribosomal RNA is filed under the name uncultured bacterium. RNAcentral describes it as "partial 16S ribosomal RNA". It matches the Rfam family "Bacterial small subunit ribosomal RNA", at positions 28 to 507 of the family's 1533-position model. The record is from RNAcentral.